CGUACACUCCUACGGGAGGCAGCAGUGAGGAAUAUUAGACAAUGGGUGGAAGCCUGAUCCAGCCAUCCCGCGUGCAGGAAGACGGCCCUAUGGGUUGUAAACUGCUUUUAUCUGGGGAUAAACCUACUUACGUGUAAGUAGCUGAAGGUACCAGAAGAAUAAGCACCGGCUAACUCCGUGCCAGCAGCCGCGGUAAUACGGAGGGUGCAAGCGUUAUCCGGAUUUAUUGGGUUUAAAGGGUCCGUAGGCGGACUGAUAAGUCAGUGGUGAAAUCCGACAGCUUAACUGUCGAACUGCCAUUGAUACUGUUAGUCUUGAGUAAGGUUGAAGUGGCUGGAAUAAGUAGUGUAGCGGUGAAAUGCAUAGAUAUUACUUAGAACACCAAUUGCGAAGGCAGGUCACUAAGUCUUAACUGACGCUGAUGGACGAAAGCGUGGGGAGCGAACAGGAUUAGAAACCCUGGUAGUCCC
This 470-nucleotide ribosomal RNA is filed under the name uncultured organism. RNAcentral describes it as "partial 16S ribosomal RNA". It matches the Rfam family "Bacterial small subunit ribosomal RNA", at positions 330 to 797 of the family's 1533-position model. The record is from RNAcentral.